This 407-nucleotide ribosomal RNA is filed under the name uncultured bacterium. RNAcentral describes it as "partial 16S ribosomal RNA". It matches the Rfam family "Bacterial small subunit ribosomal RNA", at positions 28 to 526 of the family's 1533-position model. The record is from RNAcentral.
GACGAACGCUGGCGGCGUGCCUAAUACAUGCAAGUAGGACGCAGUUGCGAACGGGUGAGUAACGCGUAGGUAACUACCUAGUAGAGGGGAAUAAAUACGGGAAACGAUAGCUAAUAACGCCUCCUAGUGGGAGGACCUGCGUUGUAUUAGCUAGUCGGUAGGGUAAUGGCCUACCUAGGCAACGAUACAUAGCCGACCUGAGAGGGUGAUCAGCCACACUGGGACUGAGACACGGCCCAGACUCCUACGGGAGGCAGCAGUGGGGAAUAUUGGACAAUGGGCGAAAGCCUGAUCCAGCCAUGCCGCGUGUGUGAAGAAGGUCGUCGGAUUGUAAAGCACUUUAAGUUGGGAGGCGUUACCAACAGAAUAAGCACCGGCUAACUUCGUGCCAGCCGCCGCGGUAAUGC